Molecule: non-coding RNA, 61 nt
Organism: Triticum aestivum (bread wheat)
Lineage: Eukaryota; Viridiplantae; Streptophyta; Magnoliopsida; Poales; Poaceae
Source: Rfam
AUAGAGCAGUUUGGUAGCUCAUAAGGCUCAUAACCUUGGGGCUGCGGGUUCGAUUCCCACU